AUCAACUUUCGAUGGUAGGAUAGAGGCUACCAUGGUGGUAACGGGUAACGGGGUGUUAGGGCACGACACCGGAGAGGGAGCCUGAGAAACGGCUACCACAUCCGAGGAUGGCAGCAGGCGCGCAAAUUACCCAAUCCCGACACGGGGAGGUAGUGACAAUAAAUAACAAUACGGGGUUCUUUCGGAUCUCGUAAUUGGAAUGAGUACAAUUUAAAUCUCUUAACGAGGAACAAUUGGAGGGCAAGUCUGGUGCCAGCAGCCGCGGUAAUUCCAGCUCCAAUAGCGUAUAUUAAAGUUGUUGCAGUUAAAAAGCUCGUAGUUGAAUUUCGGGGUCAGUAGGUUGGUCGUGCCACCGGUACGUACUGGUCUCACUGAUUCCUCCUUCCUGAUGAGCUGUAAUGCCAUUAAUUUGGUGUUGCAGGGAAUCUGGACUGUUACUUUGAAAAAAUUAGAGUGUUUAAAGCAGGCUAACGCUUGAAUACAUUAGCAUGGAAUAAUGAAAUAGGACGUUCGAUCCUAUUUUGUUGGUUUCUAGGAUUGACGUAAUGAUUAAUAGGGAUAGUUGGGGGCAUUAGUAUUCAAUUGUCAGAGGUGAAAUUCUUGGAUUUAUUGAAGACUAACUACUGCGAAAGCAUUUGCCAAGGAUGUUUUCAUUAAUCAAGAACGAAAGUUAGGGGAUCGAAGACGAUCAGAUACCGUCGUAGUCUUAACCAUAAACUAUGCCGACUAGGGAUCGGAUGAUGUUAAUUUUUUAAUGACUCAUUCGGCGCCUUACGGGAAACCAAAGUGUUUGGGUUC
This 798-nucleotide ribosomal RNA is filed under the name uncultured Glomeromycotina. RNAcentral's name for it is "SSU rRNA". It matches the Rfam family "Eukaryotic small subunit ribosomal RNA", at positions 314 to 1114 of the family's 1831-position model. The record is from RNAcentral. Lineage: Eukaryota; Fungi; Glomeromycota.